Oreochromis aureus is the source of this 839-nucleotide long non-coding RNA. RefSeq lists it as uncharacterized. Lineage: Eukaryota; Metazoa; Chordata; Actinopteri; Cichliformes; Cichlidae. The record is from RefSeq and is a predicted model, not a curated record. The transcript is spliced from 3 exons.
CGCUUGCUCUCUGCUGUGGAACUUGACUCACAUCUGUGCUUUGCCUGUGUGCAGAAGAAGAACAAGGACCAGAUCUCCAGUCUUCUCUCUCACAUCCCAACCCCCCAACCCCUCUAUCCUCUGUCCUGCUCCACCUGUUGUCUCUGCCUUCUUUCCAUCUGUAUUUCACCCUGUGGUUUGUGAGAAAUUUUGCCAAACCAAGAAUCUUAUUGCGGUUUGAUUUCAAAGCCGCGUCUCUAAUUUUAGAGUUCGAAGGAACUCUAAUUCACGGUUUAAUUGGGAUUUCCCAGCCGUGUCUUUCCUGCUCUGUCUGUUCUCUCUGCUAAAUUUUCUCUCUACCUGUUUUUCACUCCUGGCUUGCUGCUGAAUAAUGGCAAGCCAAUAAAGCAAUAAAGAGUGCAUAUUUUGCCUCAACCUGAGAACAAACUGAACAAACAAAGAAAACUAUAAUUCACGGUUUGAUUGUGAUUUCCAAGCCGUGUCUCUCCUGCUCUGCCUGUUCUCUCUUCUAAAUUUUCUCUCUACCUGUUUUUCACUCUUGGCUUGCUGCUGAAAAAUGCCAAGCCAUUAAAGCAAUAAAGAGUGCAUAUAUUGCCUCUACCUGAGAACAAACUGAACAAACAAAGAAAACUCUAAUUCACGGUUUGAUUGUGAUUUCCCAGCCGUGUCUCUUCUGCUCUGCCUGUUCUCUCUUCUAGAUUUUCUCUCUACCUGUUUUUCACUUUGCGCUUGCUGCUAAGUUGUGCCAAGCCAAUAAAGAGAGCGCAUAAUAUUCUCUCGACUGAAGAACAAACUGUCAAACAAACACAACUGUUUCUGAGAAAUAAAAACUGAAAUAU